UACGAAGGGGGCUAGCGUUGCUCGGAAUCACUGGGCGUAAAGGGUGCGUAGGCGGGUCUUUAAGUCAGGGGUGAAAUCCUGGAGCUCAACUCCAGAACUGCCUUUGAUACUGAGGAUCUUGAGUUCGGGAGAGGUGAGUGGAACUGCGAGUGUAGAGGUGAAAUUCGUAGAUAUUCGCAAGAACACCCGUGGCGAAGGCGGCCGACUGGGCCGGAUCCGACGCUGAGGCGCGAAAGCGUGGGGAGCAAACAGG
Molecule: ribosomal RNA, 253 nt
Filed under: uncultured bacterium
Lineage: Bacteria
Description: partial 16S ribosomal RNA
Rfam family: Bacterial small subunit ribosomal RNA
Source: RNAcentral